GACGAACGCUGGCGGCGUGCUUAACACAUGCAAGUCGAACGCUGAAGCUCAGCUUGCUGGGUGGAUGAGUGGCGAACGGGUGAGUAACACGUGAGUAACCUGCCCUCUUCUUUGGGAUAACGCCCGGAAACGGGUGCUAAUACUGGAUAUUCACUGAUUCUCGCAUGGGGGUUGGUGGAAAGGUUUUUUCUGGUGGGGGAUGGGCUCGCGGCCUAUCAGCUUGUUGGUGGGGUGAUGGCCUACCAAGGCUUUGACGGGUAGCCGGCCUGAGAGGGUGACCGGUAACAUUGGGAAUGAGAUACGGCCCAGACUCCUACGGGAGGCAGCAGUGGGGAAUAUUGCACAAUGGGCGAAAGCCUGAUGCAGCGACGCCGCGUGAGGGAUGGAGGCCUUCGGGUUGUAAACCUCUUUCGCUCAUGGUCAAGCCGCAGCUUUGGGUUGUGGUGAGGGUAGUGGGUAAAGAAGCGCCGGCUAACUACGUG
Molecule: ribosomal RNA, 482 nt
Filed under: uncultured bacterium
Lineage: Bacteria
Description: partial 16S ribosomal RNA
Rfam family: Bacterial small subunit ribosomal RNA
Source: RNAcentral